This 605-nucleotide ribosomal RNA is filed under the name Lactococcus cremoris. Its description in RNAcentral is "bacterial SSU rRNA". It matches the Rfam family "Bacterial small subunit ribosomal RNA", at positions 62 to 650 of the family's 1533-position model. The record is from RNAcentral. Lineage: Bacteria; Bacillati; Bacillota; Bacilli; Lactobacillales; Streptococcaceae.
UUGAGCGAUGAAGAUUGGUGCUUGCACCAAUUUGAAGAGCAGCGAACGGGUGAGUAACGCGUGGGGAAUCUGCCUUUGAGCGGGGGACAACAUUUGGAAACGAAUGCUAAUACCGCAUAACAACUUUAAACAUAAGUUUUAAGUUUGAAAGAUGCAAUUGCAUCACUCAAAGAUGAUCCCGCGUUGUAUUAGCUAGUUGGUGAGGUAAAGGCUCACCAAGGCGAUGAUACAUAGCCGACCUGAGAGGGUGAUCGGCCACAUUGGGACUGAGACACGGCCCAAACUCCUACGGGAGGCAGCAGUAGGGAAUCUUCGGCAAUGGACGAAAGUCUGACCGAGCAACGCCGCGUGAGUGAAGAAGGUUUUCGGAUCGUAAAACUCUGUUGGUAGAGAAGAACGUUGGUGAGAGUGGAAAGCUCAUCAAGUGACGGUAACUACCCAGAAAGGGACGGCUAACUACGUGCCAGCAGCCGCGGUAAUACGUAGGUCCCGAGCGUUGUCCGGAUUUAUUGGGCGUAAAGCGAGCGCAGGUGGUUUAUUAAGUCUGGUGUAAAAGGCAGUGGCUCAACCAUUGUAUGCAUUGGAAACUGGUAGACUUGAGUGCA